UACGGAGGGUGCAAGCGUUAUCCGGAUUCACUGGGUUUAAAGGGUGCGUAGGCGGGCAGGUAAGUCAGUGGUGAAAUCUUUGGGCUUAACCCGAAAACUGCCAUUGAUACUAUCUGUCUUGAAUAUUGUGGAGGUAAGCGGAAUAUGUCAUGUAGCGGUGAAAUGCUUAGAUAUGACAUAGAACACCCAUUGCGAAGGCAGCUUACUACGCAUAUAUUGACGCUGAUGCACGAAAGCGUGGGGAUCAAACAGG
Molecule: ribosomal RNA, 253 nt
Filed under: uncultured bacterium
Lineage: Bacteria
Description: partial 16S ribosomal RNA
Rfam family: Bacterial small subunit ribosomal RNA
Source: RNAcentral